GAGAUCAGUGUUGGCGACCGGGGAAGAAUAAAUUCAUUUUGUAAGUCCCGCCGAACCCUAAAAAGUAGCCGUUUUCUGAUUGGUUAAAUCCGUUCUGUCGUCUCGCGUGUGAUUGGACGAACAUGGGUUGCUGAAG
Molecule: long non-coding RNA, 136 nt
Organism: Haliotis rubra (blacklip abalone)
Lineage: Eukaryota; Metazoa; Mollusca; Gastropoda; Lepetellida; Haliotidae
Exons: 3
Source: RefSeq, a predicted model, not a curated record